Non-coding RNA from Pelobates cultripes (western spadefoot toad), 121 nucleotides. The record is from the annotation of a GenBank genome assembly. Lineage: Eukaryota; Metazoa; Chordata; Amphibia; Anura; Pelobatidae.
UCUAUAGCCCCUCCCACAACUUCAGGCCAUGCCUUCCAAUAUAUAUAUAUAUAUAUAUAUAUAUAUAUAUAUACAUAUGUAUUAAGGCAAAUUUGCCUGGAUUGGUGGGAGGUGCUGGUUU